AACGAACGCUGGCGGCGUGCUUAAGACAUGCAAGUCGUACGGAAAGGCCCCCUUCGGGGGGUACUCGAGUGGCGCACGGGUGAGUAACGCGUGGGCAAUCUACCUUCGGGUCUGGGACAACCCCGGGAAACUGGGGGCUAAUACCGGAUAAGACCACCGGAUCUUCGGAUCCAGCGGAAAAAGGUGGCCUCUCCUUGGAAGCUACCGCCUGUCGAUGAACCCGCGUCCCAUUAGCUUGUUGGUGAGGUAACGGCUCACCAAGGCGACGAUGGGUAGCUGGUCUGAGAGGAUGAUCAGCCACACUGGCACUGGAACACGGGCCAGACUCCUACGGGAGGCAGCAGUGAGGAAUAUUGGGCAAUGGGCGCAAGCCUGACCCAGCCACGCCGCGUGUGUGAUGAAGGCCUUCGGGUCGUAAAGCACUGUGGGGAGGGACGAAAAACCUCCGUUCGAAUAGGGCGGAGGCUUGACGGUACCUCCUUAGCAAGCACCGGCUAACUCUGUG
Molecule: ribosomal RNA, 505 nt
Filed under: uncultured bacterium
Lineage: Bacteria
Description: bacterial SSU rRNA
Rfam family: Bacterial small subunit ribosomal RNA
Source: RNAcentral